GAGGGUAUAGCUCAGUGGUAGAGCACAUGCUUAGCAUGCAUGAUGAGGUCCUAGGUUCAAUCCCCAGUACCUCCA
RNAcentral lists this transfer RNA (75 nucleotides) under Camelus bactrianus (Bactrian camel). It matches the Rfam family "tRNA". Rfam says of the family: Transfer RNA (tRNA) molecules are approximately 80 nucleotides in length. The record is from Rfam by way of RNAcentral. Lineage: Eukaryota; Metazoa; Chordata; Mammalia; Artiodactyla; Camelidae. RNAcentral also lists the same sequence under 2 other names.